RNAcentral lists this unclassified non-coding RNA (382 nucleotides) under fungal sp. RNAcentral's name for it is "partial internal transcribed spacer region". The stretch from base 1 to 46 matches the Rfam family "Eukaryotic small subunit ribosomal RNA", at positions 1786 to 1831 of the family's 1831-position model. The record is from RNAcentral. Lineage: Eukaryota; Fungi.
AAGUCGUAACAAGGUUUCCGUAGGUGAACCUGCGGAAGGAUCAUUAAAACGUAUCCAACGUUAACCAACUGUGAACUUGUUUCUCCCUGAGCUUUGAAAAAUUGGUAGCUAUGAAUGACAUUGAGUGGGAUCCUUUAAACAAGGAUCGGUCGUUUAUAGUCACUGAUAUACUUUACUGUAUAUCGACAAGAGUAUCUUAGUGAAGGCUUUCUCUCUGUCUACAUUCUCCAUUCAAGAGUGGGGCAGAGGGCUACACAUUAACUAUAAUCACCCCUAUUUUGCUAGUUGAAUUCUUUAAUGUUGAUGUUUAUGAAAGUAAUCAUCACACGUUUCAUUAUUUGAACGUAAAUUACAACUCUUAGCAAUGGAUAUCUUGGUUCUC